GGGAGAGGAAGGAGGAGCGGGAGGAGCCCGCCGCUCCUAAAUCCGCAGCAGCCGAAUCCUCCUUGAGCGUGGAAGAAACCAAUAAACUCCGGGCCAAGCUGGGGCUCAAACCACUGGAAACCAGCACGGUGAAGAAAGAGGCGGGCACCAAGGAGGACCCGGUGGCGGCCGAGGUGAUCAAUCCCCUGGCGCUGCGGCAGCGCGAGGAGAUCCGCGAGAAGCUGGCGGCGGCCAAGGAGAAACGGCUGCUGAACCAAAAACUGGGG
This is a non-coding RNA of Cyanistes caeruleus (blue tit), 266 nucleotides long. The record is from RefSeq and is a predicted model, not a curated record. NCBI's taxonomy places the organism in Eukaryota, Metazoa, Chordata, Aves, Passeriformes, Paridae.